AGGAUUGUGGCUCAGUGGUAGAGCACUUGCCUAGCAUGCAUGAGGGACUGGGAUUGAUCCUCAGCACUA
Molecule: transfer RNA, 69 nt
Filed under: Marmota marmota marmota (Alpine marmot)
Lineage: Eukaryota; Metazoa; Chordata; Mammalia; Rodentia; Sciuridae
Also listed under: 2 other names
Rfam family: tRNA
About the family: Transfer RNA (tRNA) molecules are approximately 80 nucleotides in length. Their secondary structure includes four short double-helical elements and three loops (D, anti-codon, and T loops).
Source: Rfam by way of RNAcentral